AGAAUCAACGCUGGCGGCGUGCCUAACACAUGCAAGUCGAACGAGAAAGUGGAGCAAUCCAUGAGUAAAGUGGCGACCGGGUGAGUAACACGUGACUAACCUACCCUCGAGUGGGGAAUAACAUCGGGAAACCGAUGCUAAUACCGCAUAACAUCGCAAGAUCAAAGCAGCAAUGCGCUGGAAGAGGGGGUCGCGGCUGAUUAGCUAGUUGGCGGGUAAUGGCCCACCAAGGCGAAGAUCGGUA
RNAcentral lists this ribosomal RNA (244 nucleotides) under uncultured bacterium. RNAcentral's name for it is "partial small subunit ribosomal RNA". It matches the Rfam family "Bacterial small subunit ribosomal RNA", at positions 26 to 285 of the family's 1533-position model. The record is from RNAcentral.